UGAUCACUGCCAGAAAGAAGAAGAAGAAGAGAGUGAGAUUCGAAGUUACCCCCCUCGAAGCAACGAGGACAGCUCUUGGUUGGUAGAUGCACCGUAGCGAAUUAACGUUAGCCCCAUAGCACCCCCGCGAGCAUUAUCGUCUUGUUGGCCCUCGCAGUCUUAUUUAUGGGCACUCGCCGUGUGCCGCGAAUGCCUUCCCUCUACUUUCUCUCUUUCUCCGCGUAUCUAAUGGGCAUCCUAUUAGCCGCGGCUGAACUCACCGUACUCUGGUACUUUUCUAAGAACGGCUCUCUAAUGUACCUUCGCUCUAAUAGAAUAAUUCCUUGGCGCAUUAGUCAGGUCUUGGCUUUAAUCGCGAUUGCAGAAUUUAUGCCGCAUGCUAGAGAGAGGGCGAGCGGAGGAAAAAAGGGCGAAGUGAAAAAAGACAGAUAGAAAGAGAGAGAAUGAGUGAGUCCUGAACGAACUACGGCUACCAUAAUAAUUGAAUUAAGUGAAUGUCGCUUAAUGACACUCGUUACAUUACCUUACCGAUCGUAGUCGAGUCGCAAGAAAUCGCGAAUGCAAUCGCGAUGUCACGAACACCCGUGCGAGUAGAACGAAGGAACGUAGGAACGAACGAACGAACGAACCUCCUCCAUCGUAACCGAGGUUGCUGCUGAUGAAAUACGAUUUCGUCGUACUCGACGAGAGGAUAAUUGAAAAUUAUAAGCAGGGAGUGAAAUCGUGACGCGGCACUAACGGAAAUGCUCCGUGAACGUCUUAGCGCGUAGCAAGCUUAAGAAGAAGAAGAAUCGAAAGAAGGAUAGGAUCGAGAUGGAUUUAUGGCUUCCACGAGUCGCAUGGCUAAUGGACAAAGCGUUUUCCAGCGGUAGAAACAAAGCGGCCUCGAAGACGACGCGUAAUUCAAAAGAAGAAGGAAAAGAAAUGGAAAAAAAAUGUCGAAAGAUUUUACAAAGGAUCUAGGAAAGGCAAGAGAAAGAGAGAACGCAUGCGAACGUAGUUCUCUUAUGGGGAAUCGACUGGAGUACGAAGUGACUAGUGGCUCUACCGGAGUAAUUACAAAAAGAUACUUCUUGGUACGGCUUCCAUUUGUACGGCUCGGUGUUAUCCAUCAAUUCGGAUUCCGCUUAAUCGACUCUCUUCGAGGAACUCGUUGCGCGCUAGAGACUCGGAGGCUUUGACCGUAGAACUAAGGCAGCGGCAUUUACCCCAGAGACGGGCGUGUAUUGCUCGUUGCGUUUCGUAAAACCGGUAAUAAGAGAGGAAAUUGAGCUUGAAUCGAGGGAGCGACGAAGAUAGAAAGAUGGAUUCCUCGGAUGAUUCGAUUCCAGUGGAUCGCAGCCCGCAUCGACGUGGCACGGUCUUUCUACGCGACGAAUCUUCACGGGGAAAAGAAGGGAUAGGAUAUAGAAGAGGAAAAGAGGAUCGAGUGGUGUAGAGUGGAAGAAAGAUGAGAGAAAGAGGAGCGUACGUGGAACUAAUUUCUCCCAACGGAUCCGGGCAGGACGGGAAGAAAAGGUAGUAGUAGCAGUAGUGGUAGUAGUAGUACUAGUAGUAGUAGUAGGUGCAACGUGACGUAGCGCCGAGGAAAUUACGGUAAUCACGAACGGAGGAUGUGCGCGAGGAUACCUGGAAGAAAAAGCGACGGCAGCGGGAGGCCGCGAGUAAGAAGAGAAAAUAUUCUGGUGGUAUCGGGACGUAACUAAAAGAGGGAGUUGGAGGGACAUGCGAUACUACUCCACGUUAGUUUCAAGGCUAGGUCCAGAAGGUAGUUCAAAGGAAAGAAAACUUUAGCCUUGAGCAUCGAGAGUACGUAUACACGUAUACAUAAGUAAACGCGAACAAGAAGGAAAGUGGACGGAUCGACUUAAACAUGCGCGUGCCUUAGCUUUGAAAGAAGGAGAACGAUAGAGACAAGAA
RNAcentral lists this long non-coding RNA (1920 nucleotides) under Polistes fuscatus (common paper wasp). RNAcentral describes it as "uncharacterized LOC122521282". The record is from RNAcentral. Lineage: Eukaryota; Metazoa; Arthropoda; Insecta; Hymenoptera; Vespidae.